This 234-nucleotide long non-coding RNA is filed under the name Elaeis guineensis (African oil palm). RNAcentral's name for it is "long non-coding RNA (EGUI_LNC080045)". The record is from RNAcentral. Lineage: Eukaryota; Viridiplantae; Streptophyta; Magnoliopsida; Arecales; Arecaceae.
UUAGAUUUGAUUUUUAUUAUCUAAUAUUUAAUCUAAAAUUAAAUCUAAAACUUGAGGAUUAGAGGAAUACCUCUAGGGUAACUAGAUUACCUUGUAGAUGAUCACAGCAAUGCCCGAGGUUCUAAAAUAGCCAUGCAGUCGCCUGGCCUCUACCAGUAUCCACUCAAGUAGAAUCUAGAUUAUCUUCUCCUCAUGAAUUUUUUCUCCAAAAAUCAAAUCUAGAUCUAAUCUGCA